UUGAACGCUGGCGGCAGGCCUAACCCAUGCAAGUCGAGCGGAUGAAGGGAGCUUGCUCCUGGAUUCAGCGGCGGACGGGUGAGUAAUGCCUAGGAAUCUGCCUGGUAGUGGGGGUUAGCGUCCGGAAACGGGCGCUAAUACCGCAUACGUCCUGAGGGAGAAAGUGGGGGAUCUUCGGACCUCACGCUAUCAGAUGAGCCUAGGUCGGAUUAGCUAGUUGGUGGGGUAAAGGCCUACCAAGGCGACGAUCCGUAACUGGUCUGAGAGGAUGAUCAGUCACACUGGAACUGAGACACGGUCCAGACUACUACGGGAGGCAGCAGUGGGGAAUAUUGGACAAGGGGCGAAAGCCUGAUCCAGCCAUGCCGCGUGUGUGAAGAAGGUCUUCGGAUUGUAAAGCACUUCAAGUUGGGAGGAAGGGCAGUAAGUUAAUACCUUGCUGUUUUGACGUUACCAACAGAAUAAGCACCGGCUAACUUCGUG
This 483-nucleotide ribosomal RNA is filed under the name uncultured bacterium. RNAcentral's name for it is "partial 16S ribosomal RNA". It matches the Rfam family "Bacterial small subunit ribosomal RNA", at positions 30 to 507 of the family's 1533-position model. The record is from RNAcentral.